CUAAAUACUCCUGACUGACCGAUAGUGAACCAGUACCGUGAGGGAAAGGCGAAAAGAACCCCGGCGAGGGGAGUGAAAAAGAACCUGAAACCGUGUACGUACAAGCAGUGGGAGCACGCUUAGGCGUGUGACUGCGUACCUUUUGUAUAAUGGGUCAGCGACUUAUAUUCUGUAGCAAGGUUAACCGAAUAGGGGAGCCGAAGGGAAACCGAGUCUUAACUGGGCGUUAAGUUGCAGGGUAUAGACCCGAAACCCGGUGAUCUAGCCAUGGGCAGGUUGAAGGUUGGGUAACACUAACUGGAGGACCGAACCGACUAAUGUUGAAAAAUUAGCGGAUGACUUGUGGCUGGGGGUGAAAGGCCAAUCAAACCGGGAGAUAGCUGGUUCUCCCCGAAAGCUAUUUAGGUAGCGCCUCGUGAAUUCAUCUCCGGGGGUAGAGCACUGUUUCGGCAAGGGGGUCAUCCCGACUUACCAACCCGAUGCAAACUGCGAAUACCGGAGAAUGUUAUCACGGGAGACACACGGCGGGUGCUAACGUCCGUCGUGAAGAGGGAAACAACCCAGACCGCCAGCUAAGGUCCCAAAGUCAUGGUUAAGUGGGAAACGAUGUGGGAAGGCCCAGACAGCCAGGAUGUUGGCUUAGAAGCAGCCAUCAUUUAAAGAAAGCGUAAUAGCUCACUGGUCGAGUCGGCCUGCGCGGAAGAUGUAACGGGGCUAAACCAUGCACCGAAGCUGCGGCAGCGACGCUGAUGCGUUGUUGGGUAGGGGAGCGUUCUGUAAGCCUGUGAAGGUGUGCUGUGAGGCAUGCUGGAGGUAUCAGAAGUGCGAAUGCUGACAUAAGUAACGAUAAAGCGGGUGAAAAGCCCGCUCGCCGGAAGACCAAGGGUUCCUGUCCAACGUUAAUCGGGGCAGGGUGAGUCGACCCCUAAGGCGAGGCCGAAAGGCGUAGUCGAUGGGAAACAGGUUAAUAUUCCUGUACUUGGUGUUACUGCGAAGGGGGGACGGAGAAGGCUAUGUUGGCCGGGCGACGGUUGUCCCGGUUUAAGCGUGUAGGCUGGUUUUCCAGGCAAAUCCGGAAAAUCAAGGCUGAGGCGUGAUGACGAGGCACUACGGUGCUGAAGCAACAAAUGCCCUGCUUCCAGGAAAAGCCUCUAAGCAUCAGGUAACAUCAAAUCGUACCCCAAACCGACACAGGUGGUCAGGUAGAGAAUACCAAGGCGCUUGAGAGAACUCGGGUGAAGGAACUAGGCAAAAUGGUGCCGUAACUUCGGGAGAAGGCACGCUGAUAUGUAGGUGAAGUCCCUCGCGGAUGGAGCUGAAAUCAGUCGAAGAUACCAGCUGGCUGCAACUGUUUAUUAAAAACACAGCACUGUGCAAACACGAAAGUGGACGUAUACGGUGUGACGCCUGCCCGGUGCCGGAAGGUUAAUUGAUGGGGUCAGCGCAAGCGAAGCUCUUGAUCGAAGCCCCGGUAAACGGCGGCCGUAACUAUAACGGUCCUAAGGUAGCGAAAUUCCUUGUCGGGUAAGUUCCGACCUGCACGAAUGGCGUAAUGAUGGCCAGGCUGUCUCCACCCGAGACUCAGUGAAAUUGAACUCGCUGUGAAGAUGCAGUGUACCCGCGGCAAGACGGAAAGACCCCGUGAACCUUUACUAUAGCUUGACACUGAACAUUGAGCCUUGAUGUGUAGGAUAGGUGGGAGGCUUAGAAGUGUGGACGCCAGUCUGCAUGGAGCCGACCUUGAAAUACCACCCUUUAAUGUUUGAUGUUCUAACGUUGACCCGUAAUCCGGGUUGCGGACAGUGUCUGGUGGGUAGUUUGACUGGGGCGGUCUCCUCCUAAAGAGUAACGGAGGAGCACGAAGGUUGGCUAAUCCUGGUCGGACAUCAGGAGGUUAGUGCAAUGGCAUAAGCCAGCUUGACUGCGAGCGUGACGGCGCGAGCAGGUGCGAAAGCAGGUCAUAGUGAUCCGGUGGUUCUGAAUGGAAGGGCCAUCGCUCAACGGAUAAAAGGUACUCCGGGGAUAACAGGCUGAUACCGCCCAAGAGUUCAUAUCGACGGCGGUGUUUGGCACCUCGAUGUCGGCUCAUCACAUCCUGGGGCUGAAGUAGGUCCCAAGGGUAUGGCUGUUCGCCAUUUAAAGUGGUACGCGAGCUGGGUUUAGAACGUCGUGAGACAGUUCGGUCCCUAUCUGCCGUGGGCGCUGGAGAACUGAGGGGGGCUGCUCCUAGUACGAGAGGACCGGAGUGGACGCAUCACUGGUGUUCGGGUUGUCAUGCCAAUGGCACUGCCCGGUAGCUAAAUGCGGAAGAGAUAAGUGCUGAAAGCAUCUAAGCACGAAACUUGCC
Molecule: ribosomal RNA, 2347 nt
Filed under: Escherichia coli
Lineage: Bacteria; Pseudomonadati; Pseudomonadota; Gammaproteobacteria; Enterobacterales; Enterobacteriaceae
Description: partial 23S ribosomal RNA
Rfam family: Bacterial large subunit ribosomal RNA
Source: RNAcentral